GGUAUUGUUUACCCCAUUUGAAAGGCCCCGGAACCUUCCAAAUACCUUCGAUGGACCGGAACAUCCAUCACUAAUGUAAACAAAAA
RNAcentral lists this small RNA (86 nucleotides) under Streptococcus equi subsp. zooepidemicus. It matches the Rfam family "Ribosomal protein L13 leader". Rfam says of the family: This family is a putative r-protein leader autoregulatory structure found in B. subtilis and other low-GC Gram-positive bacteria. It is located in the 5' untranslated regions of mRNAs encoding the L13-S9 (rplM-rpsI) ribosomal protein operon. The record is from RNAcentral. Lineage: Bacteria; Bacillati; Bacillota; Bacilli; Lactobacillales; Streptococcaceae.